AGUUGGAAAGAUAAUAGCUUACAAAGCCGAUGAUCCUUAAUUGGUCUGAGAGGACGUACAAUCACACUAGAACUGAGACAAGGUCUAGACAUCUAAGGAUGGCAGCAGUGGGGAAUCUUGAACAAUGAGCGAAAGCUUGAUUCAGCGAUAUAGAGUGAAUGAUGAAAGCCAUUAGGUUGUAAAGUUCUUUUACCAAGAAAGAUUCUGACUUUACUUGGAGAAAAAGCCCUGGCAAAUUUCGUGCCAGCAGCCGCGGUGAUACGAAAAGGGCUAGUGUUAUUCGGAAUAAUUGGGUGUAAAGGGUGAGUAGGCUGUAAUCAUAGUUAAUUCUUAAAUCUUAGUAGUAAUUACUAAAUCAAUUAUUAAAAACAAAUUACUAGAGUAAAAGAGAGGAUUGUAGAAUUUCAAGUGGAGAAAUAAAAUUCGUAGAUUUUUGAAGGAAUAUCGAAAGCGAAGGCAACAAUCUGGCUUUAUACUGACGCUGAUUCACGAAAGCUUAGGUAGCAACCAGGAUUAGAGACCCUGUUAGUCUAAGCUGUAAACUAUGGAUACUCAUUUUUGGACAAUAAAUGUUCGGAAGUUUAGCUAACGCGUUAAGUAUCCCACCUGAGAAGUACAGUGGCAACGCUGAAACUCAAAGGAAUUGACGGGGGCCCGCACAAGCGGUGGAGUAUGUGGUUUAAUUCGAUGCAACGCGAAGAACCUUACCAGGGCUUGACAUGUCACAAAUCUUUUUGAAAGGAAAGAGUGCCUUCGGGAGUGUGAACACAGGUGGUGCAUGGCUGUCGUCAGCUCGUGUCGUGAGAUGUUGGGUUAAGUCCCGCAACGAGCGUAACCCUUGUCUUUAGUUGCCAUCAUUUAGUUGGGCACUUUAAAGAGACUGCCGGUGAUAAACCGGAGGAAGGUGAGGACGACGUCAAGUCAGCAUGCCCCUUACGCCCUGGGCUACACACGUACUACAAUGGCCGAGACAAAGAGUCGCAAGUUUGCAAGAACAAGCUAAUCUCAUAAACU
This 1014-nucleotide ribosomal RNA is filed under the name Geminigera cryophila. RNAcentral describes it as "partial Bacterial small subunit ribosomal RNA". It matches the Rfam family "Bacterial small subunit ribosomal RNA", at positions 247 to 1282 of the family's 1533-position model. The record is from RNAcentral. Lineage: Eukaryota; Cryptophyceae; Pyrenomonadales; Geminigeraceae.